GUGUGUGUGUGUGUGUGUGUGUGUGUGUGUGUGUGUAUGUGUGUGUGUAUUUUGCAUACACAUCUAGCGAUCUAUUAAUACUAAAUGUAGUAGUUAGGUGUGUGUGUGUGUGUGUGUGUGUGUGUGUGUGUGUGUGUGGGACACGCACACACACAGUCACGGCCUUGUGACAGGGAGAAGCGGGCGUUGUGUUGUUGCAGCAGACCUCAGCUUCCUCAUCAGCCUCCUCCUGAUAUGAGGAAGUCGAGCUCUGAUAUCCCCGAUCGGAUGUGUUCCUGCCUGCAGUUUGCGUGGAGCCUCGGGGUGGUUCCACAUGAAGCCCGUGGGGACAAGUGUUCACGCCUCCCUGAUCAUUUAGUAUCUGUGACAUUUAAAAAAAAGCAAAUAUACAGUAAAAGGAAAUAGUUGCUUAGCGGUCUGACAUUUGGGCUGUGGUAAACUUCGAUACUAUGAUGAAUCCAAAGUUCCCAAGUGUGGAGAGAAGGCCGCGGAGGCCUAAACAGUGAUUUACUGUGGAGCUGCCCACUGUACGACGCGGAGGACGAGAAGUACAUAGUGUCUUUACAGCCAAGAGUUGGCCGAGCUAUCGUCUGGCUCAGGACAGUGGGUUUUCGCUUGGCCCCCCUCUCUGUGGGGGGUGGAGGGGGCAUCGGGGGGUUGCUUUGGCAUGUGCCAAGGAAAUAAAACGAAGAACACAGCUUAUUUUGAAAGCGUUUUCAGGACCUUGAAGUAUAGGAAUGUUUCAGCUUUCAAGGGGUUUCAUUUAAUUCACUGUAAGUUAGUUUUAAGGGUAAAUCUCUCUCCAGCAAAGGUCACAUACAACAAAACAAAUAAAUAGGAGCACGUUAUAUGCAGCUCUGAAGCCA
This is a long non-coding RNA of Betta splendens (Siamese fighting fish), 866 nucleotides long. RefSeq lists it as uncharacterized. NCBI's taxonomy places the organism in Eukaryota, Metazoa, Chordata, Actinopteri, Anabantiformes, Osphronemidae. The record is from RefSeq and is a predicted model, not a curated record. The transcript is spliced from 2 exons.